GGGCAAUUGGCGGGCGUGCUAUACAUGCAAGUCGAGCGAACAGAUAAGGAGCUUGCUCCUUUGACGUUAGCGGCGGACGGGUGAGUAACACGUGGGUAACCUACCUAUAAGACUGGGAUAACUUCGGGAAACCGGAGCUAAUACCGGAUAACAUUUGGAACCGCAUGGUUCUAAAGUGAAAGAUGGUUUUGCUAUCACUUAUAGAUGGACCCGCGCCGUAUUAGCUAGUUGGUAAGGUAACGGCUUACCAAGGCGACGAUACGUAGCCGACCUGAGAGGGUGAUCGGCCACACUGGAACUGAGACACGGUCCAGACUCCUACGGGAGGCAGCAGUAGGGAAUCUUCCGCAAUGGGCGAAAGCCUGACGGAGCAACGCCGCGUGAGUGAUGAAGGGUUUCGGCUCGUAAAACUCUGUUAUUAGGGAAGAACAAAUGUGUAAGUAACUGUGCACGUCUUGACGGUACCUAAUCAGAAAGCCACGGCUAACUACGUGCCAGCAGCCGCGGUAAUACGUAGGUGGCAAGCGUUAUCCGGAAUUAUUGGGCGUAAAGCGCGCGUAGGCGGUUUCUUAAGUCUGAUGUGAAAGCCCACGGCUCAACCGUGGAGGGUCAUUGGAAACUGGGAAACUUGAGUGCAGAAGAGGAAAGUGGAAUUCCAUGUGUAGCGGUGAAAUGCGCAGAGAUAUGGAGGAACACCAGUGGCGAAGGCGACUUUCUGGUCUGUAACUGACGCUGAUGUGCGAAAGCGUGGGGAUCAAACAGGAUUAGAUACCCUGGUAGUCCACGCCGUAAACGAUGAGUGCUAAGUGUUAGGGGGUUUCCGCCCCUUAGUGCUGCAGCUAACGCAUUAAGCACUCCGCCUGGGGAGUACGACCGCAAGGUUGAAACUCAAAGGAAUUGACGGGGACCCGCACAAGCGGUGGAGCAUGUGGUUUAAUUCGAAGCAACGCGAAGAACCUUACCAAAUCUUGACAUCCUUUGAAAACUCUAGAGAUAGAGCUUUCCCCUUCGGGGGACAAAGUGACAGGUGGUGCAUGGUUGUCGUCAGCUCGUGUCGUGAGAUGUUGGGUUAAGUCCCGCAACGAGCGCAACCCUUAAGCUUAGUUGCCAUCAUUAAGUUGGGCACUCUAGGUUGACUGCCGGUGACAAACCGGAGGAAGGUGGGGAUGACGUCAAAUCAUCAUGCCCCUUAUGAUUUGGGCUACACACGUGCUACAAUGGACAAUACAAAGGGCAGCUAAACCGCGAGGUCAUGCAAAUCCCAUAAAGUUGUUCUCAGUUCGGAUUGUAGUCUGCAACUCGACUACAUGAAGCUGGAAUCGCUAGUAAUCGUAGAUCAGCAUGCUACGGUGAAUACGUUCCCGGGUCUUGUACACACCGCCCGUCACACCACGAGAGUUUGUAACACCCGAAGCCGGUGGAGUAACCAUUUAUGGAGCUAGCCGUCGAAGUGACAAAUGG
RNAcentral lists this ribosomal RNA (1461 nucleotides) under bacterium. RNAcentral describes it as "bacterial SSU rRNA". It matches the Rfam family "Bacterial small subunit ribosomal RNA". The record is from RNAcentral.